ACUAAGAAAUGUGAUUAUGUAGAGAAUGACUAGUAAAUAAUUCUUAGUUUUUUUUAAUUGAGCUGAGAGCAAAUAAAACACAAAUGAGUUUUUUUUAAUGGAACUGAUGUUUGCUUUUAGGUUGAAACUUCCUAGCUCAUCAAAUACAACACAAUCCCAGUGGGAGAGAUUGAGGUUGGAUAUAUCUUCCAAAGAAUGCCACUUUCUAAAAAGGAUAGUGUUUCCACUGCAACAGUUUCAGUCCCCUGGAUAGAAUCUUCUGCUCAUGUCCACUUACAAGCAGAUUUUCUUCCAUCUCUGCCACUCCUGAGAUAGCAAGACCAACCCGUCCUCUUCCUCCUCAACCUACUCAAUGUGAAGAUGAUGAGGAUGAAGGCCUUUACGAUGAUCCACUUCCACUUAAUGAAUAUGAAAAUCAAGAGGCUGGGCCUUGAAGCAUCUCAGCAAGCAUGACGUCCUCUACACCAUACCCUCUGGCCUGGGGUUCAGCAGUCUUCACCAUUUCCAUUCCCUGAACCCCUCAAAAUCAGGAAUACAGGAGAUCAAGCAAUAACUUCAGCAAAUUACGAUUAGGAGGAGGGAGAAUGAGGAAGAGCAACUGGAGAGCCUCAAUUUGCCGGUCCUUGUCUGGUAUAUUGGUCUUGUUUCCUUUAUCAUCAAACUGCAUCA
Molecule: long non-coding RNA, 669 nt
Organism: Gorilla gorilla gorilla (western lowland gorilla)
Lineage: Eukaryota; Metazoa; Chordata; Mammalia; Primates; Hominidae
Exons: 4
Source: RefSeq, a predicted model, not a curated record